This is a long non-coding RNA of Dermacentor albipictus, 797 nucleotides long. RefSeq lists it as uncharacterized. NCBI's taxonomy places the organism in Eukaryota, Metazoa, Arthropoda, Arachnida, Ixodida, Ixodidae. The record is from RefSeq and is a predicted model, not a curated record.
CUUAUCGUCAUCAACACCGUAUUCGUCCGCUACUUUGUGGCGGUAUGAUAGUUGGCAUUCAUUUUCACUGUUUUACUGUGGAUUAUUCGACCUUCUGUUCUCAUCACGAUACCCGACGUGUACAGUGUGCAUGUAACAUAUCUCACAGCCGCUGCGGACAAGUUCAUUGAACUGUCGUGUUGUAGUGCGUCCUGCCUCAGCGUGCUAACGCGACGUGCUGUCAUCGACUGGGUGCGCUUGCAUAGUCGCCGACCGGCACCAACUUGCAGGGCAGCAGGUCGUCCAUGACGGCAAGGGCGACAUAUUCUUUGUUCAUGUAUGAAACCAGGCCACUACAACGUGACCGCGCCGCAACAGAAUGGAAACAAGGAAAGGAAGAUGGCACAUGCGAGUUGCCUUGUGGUGGCGUCCCAGUGACGUGGACGAUGCCGGGAGAAAUCACUCAACAGCACAGUUGGGUGACCAGGCCCGAGGGAUGACCUGCCUGAUGCGGCAACAGCACGCAACACCCGGGCUGCUGCAACAGCUCCAACGUGGAACUCGACUAGGGGCAGUCGACAUAGGCACAAGACCAAACGGAUUGGAGGACAUUCGCACAGCUGCGAGUACUGCCCGUACAGGACGUAUUACAAGUCUCACCUGGAAAGACACAUUCGGACUCACACAGGAGAGAAACCCUAUGCGUGUCACCUUUGCCAGUCGGCAUUUUCGGAUCCCAGUGCCUACAGUCGUCAUAUGCGAGGACACAUCGAUGAAUCAAACGCUCCGCCUGGGUCAUUUACGUGCGGCCCGUAUUA